This 502-nucleotide ribosomal RNA is filed under the name uncultured bacterium. Its description in RNAcentral is "partial 16S ribosomal RNA". It matches the Rfam family "Bacterial small subunit ribosomal RNA", at positions 28 to 507 of the family's 1533-position model. The record is from RNAcentral.
GACGAACGCUGGCGGCGUGCUUAACACAUGCAAGUCGAACGGUGAAGGGGUCUGCUUUUGUGGGCCCUGGAUGAGUGGCGAACGGGUGAGUAACACGUGAGUAACCUGCCCCCUUCUUCUGGAUAACCGCAUGAAAGUGUGGCUAAUACGGGAUAUUCUGGGUCUGUCGCAUGAUGGGUCUGGGAAAGAUUGCGCCUUUGGGUGUUUUUGGUGGGGGAUGGGCUCGCGGCCUAUCAGCUUGUUGGUGGGGUGAUGGCCUACCAAGGCGGUGACGGGUAGCCGGCAUGAGAGGGUGGACGGUCACACUGGAACUGAGACACGGCCCAGACUCCUACGGGGGGCAGCAGUGGGGAAUAUUGCACAAUGGGCGCAAGCCUGAUGCAGCGACGCCGCGUGAGGGAGGGAGGCCUUCGGGUUGUAAACCUCUUUCGCAAGUGAAGCAGGCCUGCUCCUUGUGGGUGGGUUGACGGUAGCUGGAUAAGAAGCGCCGGCUAACUACGUG